CCCUUAGAUGUUCUGGGCCGCACGCGCGCUACACUGAUGCAUUCAACGAGUCUAAAACCUGGUCUGAUAGGGCUGGGUAAUCUUUUGAAAGUGCAUCGUGAUUGGGAUAGAUGAUUGCAAUUCUUCAUCUUCAACGAGGAAUGCCUAGUAAACGCAAGUCAUCAGCUUGCAUUGAUUGCGUCCCUGCCCUUUGUACACACCGCCCGUCGCUCCUACCGAUUGAAUGAUCCGAUGAAUACCAUGGAUUGAGAGUACGAAUGGGUUCGCUCAUUUCUGCUGCUCGAGAAGUGGAGUAAAUCUUAUCAUUUAGAGGAAGGAGAAGUCGUAACA
This 330-nucleotide ribosomal RNA is filed under the name uncultured eukaryote. RNAcentral's name for it is "partial 18S ribosomal RNA". It matches the Rfam family "Eukaryotic small subunit ribosomal RNA", at positions 1470 to 1796 of the family's 1831-position model. The record is from RNAcentral.